RNA transcript from Bactrocera dorsalis (oriental fruit fly), 4046 nucleotides. RefSeq lists it as uncharacterized. The record is from RefSeq and is a predicted model, not a curated record. The transcript has 6 exons. Lineage: Eukaryota; Metazoa; Arthropoda; Insecta; Diptera; Tephritidae.
CUCGCUUGACCUCUGCUAAUGGUAGGCACCUUGUCGUGGUGCAGAGGCUUAGUCGCAAGGCAUACUCGGCGCCCCCCAACCGGCGUGGAUGGUGUUGACUAGCACUAUUCAGGCAGGUUGUCGGGAGCCGCAUGCGUGCGGCGACCAAGGACUACCACCUCCUAAUCCAGGGUGUCAUGCGACCCGUGCCCAUUGGAUGAUUUGCAGCCAGGAGGAACUUUCGGCUGUAUUUUAAUGGAGCCUUCCCAACACCGGGCCGAAUUGGGAAGUAACGGUGGCCUUACGGCGUCAAGGGGCUCUGGCGUGGCGGACCUUCCUGUUCCCCAUACAGAACAUAGACCCGGCAGCUCACCCUGUUGAGCGAAGGGUCGUACGAACAAGAUGAAAAACGACAACACACAAAAAACCAACACAAAAACUGGAUCUGAUGACGGACUAGGGCAACGACAAGGGACAACGGUAUCGGAUAAGGAAAAGGAGAUCGGGACAGCGGAAGGAAAGGGGGGUCGAGGCGCUAGACGUAAGCCUAGCUACCUUGACGCUCUCACGCCAGAGGAGCGUUCGCUAUUCGAGGAGCACGCCUGCGAGGAUGAUGACGACGUGCCCUCUGGCAGCGGAGCUCACCUGGUGGGUACGCCUGGUGCCGCUGCGGCAACGAACGUCGGCGAGACCCCCCCCGGAGGGUGCAGCGGGUCGGCCUCUGGUGAGUCGUGUCGGGCAGAGCCUGACGGCACAAAAAAGAGAAGGAGGAGAAGGCGCAGAAGAGGUGGGCAACGCCCCCUCCCAGAAGCUGGCCCACCCAGCGGGUGUGAGGAUUCACGCAGGAAGGGGAUGAGUGGCUCCACCAUGAGGUGGUACCUAUGCCACCUCCACGAUGGGAAAACUCCGGAAGCGGCGGAGGCUCUAGCCAGGGGCAAGAGCCAAUGGAGCAACGUUACCCCGGCAAAUAGACGCGGCAACAAUGUGCCAGCUCGCGCGCAGGGCAGGGCAGCGGUAGCAGUGGCCGUGGCUCGGUCAGCACAACGCAGUCCAUACGGCGGGGCGACAGCGGGGCAUCGCCCGCAAACACAUGCGCCCAGGCCGAAAAACGUAAAAGCGGCCAAAUCACGCCACAGAAGCCCCCACAAUCCAAGAGGGUACGGGGCAUAGACGCAAAGGCAGCCGGGGGCCAACCAUCUGGACCGGCUCCUCACCGGGUGGAGGAGGGGCGGCCCGGGUAUGCGGACGCUGUUAGGGGCAUCCGCAUGGCUGUUCUGCCUUUCAAAUACCCGGCGGAGUCGCUAAAACCGGAGGAACUCACGGUGCUGCAGGACAUCCUCAUGGACGAGGUGUGCAAAGGCGUGGAAUAUACGGCGUCCUUCCUGGGCAUCGAUUUCAGGGGAGGCAUGAUGCAGGUAGACUGCCAUGACGAGGCGUCCGCCGACUGGCUGAAGGAGCAUGCUCCAAAGCUGGGAGGCUGGACGGGCCCUGUCCUCUGCGCGAAGAGGGUGGAAGAUGUGCCAAUCAUGCACAGCAUGACAGUUUUCCUCCCUCGGUGUGGAGACAGGUCCUACGAGAACGCCUUGGGCCUGGUGAGGAACCAGAACCGGGGACUCAGUAUCUCGGCCUGGUGUGGUACCAGCAGCAAGAAGGAGAAGCUAGGGGAUAUGGAAGGAUGGAGGCUGAACUUAUACAUAGACGACGAGUCGUAUAAGUAUGUUCGGGCCGCGAGCUUCCGCCUGUUCUACAGGUACAGCACGGUCGUUAUGCGGCCCUACAAGCCAGCUGACACCGGGAGCAAGGAAGCCAAGACGCCCGCGCCUCCACAGGACAAAGGCGUCGAUAUCCAGGCAGUGCCGGAUUCCGCCCCGGUGGAUACAAGGAUGGAGGUGGACGAGUCGUCGGAGCAGCCCUGCGGGAGCAGGUCUGAACAGGCAGUGCCAAGAACGACCACGGACGUCCCCGAAGAUGGCCGGAAUAUGGAGCUACCCUCAACGCAGGAGCUCCUAGACGGACUUGGAGGCCCAAUUGACAGCAGCGCGGUUGACGGUGGGAUAGAGGAUCUUUCUCUCCUCGAGCCCAAUCUAUGAUGGCCGUCAAUAUGGAAAUUGCCCAAGUGAACCUGCACCAUGCGGCGGCAGCCUCAGCUGUCAUAACAAACAGGUUCACUGCGGAGAAACUGGGCACGCUGCUGAUCCAAGAGCCUUGGGUCCAUAAAGGAGAGGUAAAGGGCCUCAAGACAGAGGCAAAUAAGAGUUUCUGACGCAGGAUUUGGUGGCGGUGCAGGCUAGGGACACCGAGGGCAAUGACUUCGUCCUAGCCUCAGCAUACUUUCCGGGAGAGGCAGCAACGGAACCCCCGGAGGCGGUGGAAAGGCUGGUGGAGCACUGCAGUUUGCACAAGCUCCCCCUUAUCAUCGGAUGUGACGCGAACGCCCACCAUACGGAAUGGGGCAGCACCGACUGCAACGCGAGAGUUGUAGAUAAUUUCGUCUAUUUUGGAACCAGCGUAAACACCACAAACAAUGUCAGCCUAGAAAUCCAACGCAGGAUAACUUUUGCCAACAGGUGCUACUUUGGACUGAGUAGGCAAUUGAGAAGCAAAGUCCUCUCUCGACAAACAAAAACCAAACUCUAUAAGUCACUCAUAAUUCCCGUCCUGCUAUAUGGUGCAGAGGCUUGGACGAUGUCAACAACGGAUGAGUCGACGUUGCGAGUGAAAAGUUCUGCGAAAGAUUUAUGGUCCUUUGCGAUCAGCUGGACGAGAUAUACGACGACAUUGACAUAGUUCAGCGAAUUAAAAGACAGCGGCUACGUUGGCUAGGUCAUGUCGUCCGGAUGGACGAAAACACUCCAGCUCUAGCGAAAAGAAGGAACGACUGGCGCGCAGUUGUUAAUCAAUUAAGAAGAAGAAGAAGAAUUAGUAUUCCAUAAGCAAUAUGAAGACUCCACAAGUAAUACGCAAUAAAUGUUUGCCCGUCGAGAUGCCUCGUAACAACUAUCAUUACAACAUAUUAGGGGUAUUCUCUUGAUCUUGCAAAACCCUUUCACGGUGCAAGAAUUCCAUAUAUUUCCUCUUGGUGCACCGGCACAACAACAAACACACGCAGAAAAUUAUUUGCAAUGGUUGUAAAAUAUGUCAGACCAAAACCCAUGUAUAUUUGCGUGCAAUGUCUCGCAAAAAUAUAAUUGCAACCCUGUUUUAGCUGUCAUUUUACAUAAAAACAUAUUACCUCGUUAUAUUGUUGAGGAAAUUUUCCAAAAAUGUGAAUAUCGAAGUUGCGCCCCCAGCGUAGAGGAAAAGGCAGUAGCCAAACAAAAAGUGGAAGGAGAGUGAGGUGCACUCUAUUAUAGAGUUUUUAAUGGAAGAGACGGAAUUUGAGGCUCCAACUGCGCAAUUUUUUUAUAAAGGAUUUUUACAUAAAUCGCAGUUGGAUGUCUCAUGGGAUCUGGUUCGGUGGAAGGUCCGACAUUUGAAGGCGCAGUACCGUAAAGUCAAUGACUGGCUCGCGUCAACGGGUGCAGGACUACAAGACGAAGCUGACAGCAGAACCUUCGAAGCAAAAAUUGCUAAAAUGUGUCCAUAUUACGACCAGCUGAAGGAAAUAUUUGGAAAGCGGUUGCCGGAUAUGCAACCGUUACUGGUUGAAAGUAACAUUACUCGCCACAGUUAUGUCCAGUUACUCCUGCACCAGAAUUCGAAGUAGAAUUCUUGGAAGAAGAAUGUAUACCUGCUGCGGCAUCAAAUGCCGCACCUGCGAUCGCACCAAUCUCCAAACCAGUAUCAACAUACCAACGGUCAGUUCGGCCUUCGAAAUCAUUCGUUGGACAAUUGGCGACUGUCCAAGCAGAAAAAACUGCUAUGGAAGCGAAGAAACUGGAAUUUGAUAAAUAUAAAUUCGAGGAGGAAAAGAAAAUUCAAGAAAGGAGGUUAGAUAUUGAGUCAAAAAAAUUAGACAUAGAAUUGAAAAAAAUUGAAACUAAUGAAAAAUGUAAGAUGUUAAGAAUUAGAAAUGAAAGAAAGAGUAGCUAUGUACGAAAUUGAAAAAAAAAAAAUGAAAAUAAAAA